UUGACUGGGGCGGUCGCCUCCCAAAAGGUAACGGAGGCGCUCAAAGGUUCUCUCAGUACGGUCGGAAAUCGUACGUAGAGGGUAAAGGCAAAAGAGAGCUUGAUUGCAAGACAUACAGGUCGAGCAAGGAUGAAAAUCGGACUUAGUGAUCCGGUGGUGCUGCGUGGAAGGGCCAUCGCUCAACGGAUAAAAGCUACCCUGGGGAUAACAGGCUUAUCUCCCCCAAGAGUCCACAUCGACGGGGAGGUUUGGCACCUCGAUGUCGGCUCAUCACAUCCUGGGGCUG
RNAcentral lists this ribosomal RNA (286 nucleotides) under Clostridioides difficile. RNAcentral's name for it is "partial 23S ribosomal RNA". It matches the Rfam family "Bacterial large subunit ribosomal RNA", at positions 2270 to 2555 of the family's 2925-position model. The record is from RNAcentral. Lineage: Bacteria; Bacillati; Bacillota; Clostridia; Peptostreptococcales; Peptostreptococcaceae.